This 253-nucleotide ribosomal RNA is filed under the name uncultured bacterium. Its description in RNAcentral is "partial 16S ribosomal RNA". It matches the Rfam family "Bacterial small subunit ribosomal RNA", at positions 524 to 776 of the family's 1533-position model. The record is from RNAcentral.
UACGAAGGGGGCUAGCGUUGCUCGGAAUCACUGGGCGUAAAGGGUGCGUAGGCGGGUCUUUAAGUCAGGGGUGAAAUCCCAAGGCUCAACCUUGGAACUGCCUUUGAUACUGGGGAUCUCGAGUCCGGAAGAGGUGAGUGGAACUGCGAGUGUAGAGGUGAAAUUCGUAGAUAUUCGCAAGAACACCAGUGGCGAAGGCGGCUCACUGGCCCGGUACUGACGCUGAGGUGCGAAAGCGUGGGGAGCAAACAGG